Molecule: ribosomal RNA, 842 nt
Filed under: Enterococcus faecium
Lineage: Bacteria; Bacillati; Bacillota; Bacilli; Lactobacillales; Enterococcaceae
Description: bacterial SSU rRNA
Rfam family: Bacterial small subunit ribosomal RNA
Source: RNAcentral
AGAGUUUGAUCCUGGCUCAGGACGAACGCUGGCGGCGUGCCUAAUACAUGCAAGUCGUACGCUUCUUUUUCCACCGGAGCUUGCUCCACCGGAAAAAGAAGAGUGGCGAACGGGUGAGUAACACGUGGGUAACCUGCCCAUCAGAAGGGGAUAACACUUGGAAACAGGUGCUAAUACCGUAUAACAAUCGAAACCGCAUGGUUUUGAUUUGAAAGGCGCUUUCGGGUGUCGCUGAUGGAUGGACCCGCGGUGCAUUAGCUAGUUGGUGAGGUAACGGCUUACCAAGGCCACGAUGCAUAGCCGACCUGAGAGGGUGAUCGGCCACAUUGGGACUGAGACACGGCCCAAACUCCUACGGGAGGCAGCAGUAGGGAAUCUUCGGCAAUGGACGAAAGUCUGACCGAGCAACGCCGCGUGAGUGAAGAAGGUUUUCGGAUCGUAAAACUCUGUUGUUAGAGAAGAACAAGGAUGAGAGUAACUGUUCAUCCCUUGACGGUAUCUAACCAGAAAGCCACGGCUAACUACGUGCCAGCAGCCGCGGUAAUACGUAGGUGGCAAGCGUUGUCCGGAUUUAUUGGGCGUAAAGCGAGCGCAGGCGGUUUCUUAAGUCUGAUGUGAAAGCCCCCGGCUCAACCGGGGAGGGUCAUUGGAAACUGGGAGACUUGAGUGCAGAAGAGGAGAGUGGAAUUCCAUGUGUAGCGGUGAAAUGCGUAGAUAUAUGGAGGAACACCAGUGGCGAAGGCGGCUCUCUGGUCUGUAACUGACGCUGAGGCUCGAAAGCGUGGGGAGCAAACAGGAUUAGAUACCCUGGUAGUCCACGCCGUAAACGAUGAGUGCUAAGU